UACGGGGGGGGCAAGCGUUGUUCGGAAUUACUGGGCGUAAAGGGCGCGUAGGCGGCCUUCUAAGUCGGACGUGAAAUCCCUCGGCUUAACCGAGGAACUGCGUCCGAUACUGAAAGGCUUGAAUCCGGGAGAGGGAUGUGGAAUUCCAGGUGUAGCGGUGAAAUGCGUAGAUAUCAAGAGGAACACCUGAGGUGAAGACGGGUUGCUGGGCCGACACUGACGCUGAAGCGCGAAAGCCAGGGGAGCAAACGGG
Molecule: ribosomal RNA, 253 nt
Filed under: uncultured bacterium
Lineage: Bacteria
Description: partial 16S ribosomal RNA
Rfam family: Bacterial small subunit ribosomal RNA
Source: RNAcentral